CUACGGGGUGCACCAGUGAGGAAUUUUGCGCAAUGGGGGAAACCCUGACGCAGCAACGCCGCGUGAGUGAUGAAGGCUUUCGGGUCGUAAAGCUCUGUCAAGUGGGAAGAACCUGUCUGGUGUUAAUACCACCGGGCACUGACGGUACCACUGAGGGAAGCACCGGCUAACUCCGUGCCAGCAGCCGCGGUAAUACGGGGGGUGCAAGCGUUAUUCGGAAUCAUUGGGCGUAAAGAGCACGUAGGCGGUUUCAUAAGUCAGAUGUGAAAGCCCGGGGCUUAACCUCGGAAGUGCAUUUGAAACUAUGAAACUUGAGUAUGGGAGAGGGAAGUGGAAUUCCUGGUGUAGAGGUGAAAUUCGUAGAUAUCAGGAGGAACACCGGUGGCGAAGGCGACUUCCUGGACCAAUACUGACGCUGAGGUGCGAAGGCGUGGGUAGCAAACAGGAUUAGAUACCCUCGUAGUC
This 465-nucleotide ribosomal RNA is filed under the name uncultured bacterium. RNAcentral's name for it is "partial 16S ribosomal RNA". It matches the Rfam family "Bacterial small subunit ribosomal RNA", at positions 339 to 795 of the family's 1533-position model. The record is from RNAcentral.